This 233-nucleotide unclassified non-coding RNA is filed under the name uncultured Cantharellales. Its description in RNAcentral is "sequence contains ITS2". The record is from RNAcentral. Lineage: Eukaryota; Fungi; Basidiomycota; Agaricomycetes; Cantharellales.
AAUUCUCAAGCUGGGAUGUUUUCUCGGCUUGGUGUUGGGCUUUGCAGUUCCUUUGAUUGGGAUGGCUGGCCUCAAAAGUAUUAGCUGGCUUUUCAUGUGGGGAUUGGUUUGACUCAGCGUGAUAAUAAUCUGACCGCUGAGGACAUCUUCUGGCCAGAGAUGACCGAUUCUCAUUUGGGCUGCUUCUAAUCUUGGUGUAGAGCGGAUGCUGAAUCUGUUCCACUUUUUUCACC